Bufo bufo (common toad) is the source of this 504-nucleotide long non-coding RNA. RefSeq lists it as uncharacterized. Lineage: Eukaryota; Metazoa; Chordata; Amphibia; Anura; Bufonidae. The transcript is spliced from 3 exons. The record is from RefSeq and is a predicted model, not a curated record.
AUGCCUCAUUAAUGUUAAUAAAUAGGUAAACAUAUUCUAGGGUAUAUUGACUUUAGGCUCAUGUUGAGGAUUUGCUAGAGUUUUGCAAAAGCAGUCACUGCAGUACACUGUGAUUGCUGUAGAAUGCUGUAUCUGAAUAUACCCUUAUGACAUCUAAUAUUUUGUGAGGGGAGUGCACUCAUGAAACCAUGAUACUGGGCCCAAUGUCUUAAAAUGUAAAAAGUUGCUAGUUACCAAUUCCUAACCCAAAGACCCCCUCUAUUUAACCAGAGCGGAGAUCAGCUACAAAAACUGUCUCUCACUCUGGAGGACUCAACAUGUGUAAUGCCUAAUUUCUCCUGCGGUGGUUCUCUUGCAGAAUACAUCUGGUCACUGUAGGUCCUAGCAGUGGGACACUUUGCAUUCUGCUUGUUACUAGGGAGCCCUUCUAAUAAAAUUAAGAAUUAAGUGGACAUACCCUCUAACAAAAAUUACCCUGGUUGUAGCUUUUGAUAUAUAAUAUAC